Molecule: ribosomal RNA, 117 nt
Filed under: uncultured bacterium
Lineage: Bacteria
Description: partial 16S ribosomal RNA
Rfam family: Bacterial small subunit ribosomal RNA
Source: RNAcentral
CGUUCCCGGGCCUCGUACACACCGCCCGUCAAGUCACGAAAGUUGGUAACACCCGAAGCCGGUGGCCUAACCCCUUGUGGGAGGGAGCUGUCGAAGGUGGGACUGGCGAUUGGGACU